Molecule: ribosomal RNA, 429 nt
Filed under: Chloroflexota bacterium
Lineage: Bacteria; Bacillati; Chloroflexota
Description: Chloroflexi bacterium partial 16S ribosomal RNA
Rfam family: Bacterial small subunit ribosomal RNA
Source: RNAcentral
UGGGGAAUAUUGCACAAUGGGCGCAAGCCUGAUGCAGCCAUGCCGCGUGUGUGAAGAAGGCCUUCGGGUUGUAAAGCACUUUCAGCGGGGAGGAAGGCGUUAAGUUUAAUAACCUUGGCGAUUGACGUUACCUGCAGAAGAAGCACCGGCUAACUCCGUGCCAGCAGCCGCGGUAAUACGGAGGGUGCAAGCGUUAAUCGGAAUUACUGGGCGUAAAGCGCACGCAGGCGGUCUGUCAAGUCGGAUGUGAAAUCCCCGGGCUCAACCUGGGAACUGCAUUCGAAACUGGCAGGCUAGAGUCUUGUAGAGGGGGGUAGAAUUCCAGGUGUAGCGGUGAAAUGCGUAGAGAUCUGGAGGAAUACCGGUGGCGAAGGCGGCCCCCUGGACAAAGACAGACGCUCAGGUGCGAAAGCGUGGGGAGCAAACAGG